AAAUCCCUGCUGUUCGCGUGAACCACCGUAUAGUUUUUGCCAACACAAAAACUUUGGGAGUUCGGCCUUCAUACACGGCAUGCAAGCCCUAUUUUGAGGGACACACAAUGUGUAUGAGAGAACACCCACCUGCCUUGCAGGUUAAAACUCGCGGCGCCACGGCUCAGUGGGGUUUUU
This 177-nucleotide non-coding RNA is filed under the name Syntrophomonadaceae bacterium. RNAcentral describes it as "6S RNA". It matches the Rfam family "6S / SsrS RNA". Rfam says of the family: E. coli 6S RNA was the first non coding RNA to be sequenced, but its function was unknown until recently. It consists of 184 nucleotides that fold into an extended hairpin structure with a large single-stranded internal bulge. The 6S RNA specifically associates with RNA polymerase holoenzyme containing the sigma70 specificity factor. The record is from RNAcentral. Lineage: Bacteria; Bacillati; Bacillota; Clostridia; Eubacteriales; Syntrophomonadaceae.